Molecule: long non-coding RNA, 213 nt
Organism: Notothenia coriiceps (black rockcod)
Lineage: Eukaryota; Metazoa; Chordata; Actinopteri; Perciformes; Nototheniidae
Exons: 3
Source: RefSeq, a predicted model, not a curated record
GGUUUUCACAGUAACAACAUCCAGUCGAUCCCGGAGCAAGCCUUCAUCGGGAACCCCUCGCUGAUCACCAUAUUUUUCUACGACAACCCGAUCCAGUCUGUUGGACGAUCUGCUUUUCAGGAUCUGCCUGAGCUGCGAACACUCUCUCUGAACGGAGCCGCAGAUCUCACCGAGUUCCCAGAUCUGACGGGAACCAAGAGCCUGGAGAGCCUG